CGUCGAGCUACUACGGUAGUGAAGUCAUUGAUGCCAUGCUUCCAGGAAAAGCCUCUAAGCUUCAGAUUGUAAGGAAUCGUACCCCAAACCGACACAGGUGGUCGGGUAGAGAAUACCAAGGCGCUUGAGAGAACUCGGGUGAAGGAACUAGGCAAAAUGGUACCGUAACUUCGGGAGAAGGUACGCUCUUGAUGGUGAAGUCCCUUGCGGAUGGAGCUGACGAGAGUCGCAGAUACCAGGUGGCUGCAACUGUUUAUUAAAAACACAGCACUGUGCAAAAUCGUAAGAUGACGUAUACGGUGUGACGCCUGCCCGGUGCCGGAAGGUUAAUUGAUGGGGUUAGCGUAAGCGAAGCUCUUGAUCGAAGCCCCGGUAAACGGCGGCCGUAACUAUAACGGUCCUAAGGUAGCGAAAUUCCUUGUCGGGUAAGUUCCGACCUGCACGAAUGGCGUAAUGAUGGCCACGCUGUCUCCACCCGAGACUCAGUGAAAUUGAAAUCGCUGUGAAGAUGCAGUGUACCCGCGGCUAGACGGAAAGACCCCGUGAACCUUUACUACAGCUUGGCACUGAACAUUGAACCUACAUGUGUAGGAUAGGUGGGAGGCUUUGAAGACGUGACGCCAGUUACGUUGGAGCCGUCCUUGAAAUACCACCCUUGUAUGUUUGAUGUUCUAACGUUGGCCCCUAAUCGGGGUUGCGGACAGUGCCUGGUGGGUAGUUUGACUGGGGCGGUCUCCUCCCAAAGAGUAACGGAGGAGCACGAAGGUGGGCUAAUCACGGUUGGACAUCGUGAGGUUAGUGCAAUGGCAUAAGCCCGCUUAACUGCGAGAAUGACGGUUCGAGCAGGUGCGAAAGCAGGUCAUAGUGAUCCGGUGGUUCUGAAUGGAAGGGCCAUCGCUCAACGGAUAAAAGGUACUCCGGGGAUAACAGGCUGAUACCGCCCAAGAGUUCAUAUCGACGGCGGUGUUUGGCACCUCGAUGUCGGCUCAUCACAUCCUGGGGCUGAAGUCGGUCCCAAGGGUAUGGCUGUUCGCCAUUUAAAGUGGUACGCGAGCUGGGUUUAGAACGUCGUGAGACAGUUCGGUCCCUAUCUGCCGUGGGCGUUGGAAGAUUGAAGGGGGCUGCUCCUAGUACGAGAGGACCGGAGUGGACGAACCUCUGGUGUUCGGGUUGUGUCGCCAGACGCAUUGCCCGGUAGCUAAGUUCGGAAUCGAUAACCGCUGAAAGCAUCUAAGCGGGAAGCGAGCCCUGAGAUGAGUCUU
This 1262-nucleotide ribosomal RNA is filed under the name Vibrio vulnificus. RNAcentral's name for it is "partial 23S ribosomal RNA". It matches the Rfam family "Bacterial large subunit ribosomal RNA", at positions 1567 to 2812 of the family's 2925-position model. Lineage: Bacteria; Pseudomonadati; Pseudomonadota; Gammaproteobacteria; Vibrionales; Vibrionaceae. The record is from RNAcentral.